GAGAACUAUAAACCAUAGGGUGCAAUCUUUCCAUGCUCGACGGACAUAACAAUUCAUCAACACAGACCCAAACACAAACUCCUUCACACAGACACACACACACACACACACACACACACA
Molecule: long non-coding RNA, 120 nt
Organism: Tupaia belangeri chinensis (Chinese tree shrew)
Lineage: Eukaryota; Metazoa; Chordata; Mammalia; Scandentia; Tupaiidae
Exons: 3
Source: RefSeq, a predicted model, not a curated record